GACGAACGCUGGCGGCGUGCCUAACACAUGCAAGUCGAGCGAAGUUUUUAAAGCGGAUCCCUUCGGGGUGAAACUUUAAUUAUCUUAGCGGCGGACGGGUGAGUAACGCGUGAGAAACCGUGCCUUUCACAAAGGAAUAGCCUCGGGAAACUGGGAAUAAUACCUUUAUGAUACAUCUACUUCACAUGAAGAAGAUGUUAAAGCGUAAAGCGGUGAAAGAUGGUCUCGCGUCCCAUUAGCUAGUUGGUGAGGUAAUAGCUCACCAAGGCGACGAUGGGUAGCCGGCCUGAGAGGGUGAACGGCCACACUGGAACUGAGACACGGUCCAG
Molecule: ribosomal RNA, 329 nt
Filed under: uncultured bacterium
Lineage: Bacteria
Description: bacterial SSU rRNA
Rfam family: Bacterial small subunit ribosomal RNA
Source: RNAcentral